UACGAAGGGGGCUAGCGUUGCUCGGAAUUACUGGGCGUAAAGCGCACGUAGGCGGCUUGAUAAGCGUGCGGUGAAAGCCCGGGGCUCAACCCCGGGUCGGCCGUGCGAACUGUCGAGCUGGAGCACUGUAGAGGCAGGUGGAAUUCCGGGUGUAGCGGUGGAAUGCGCAGAUAUCAGGAGGAACACCGGUGGCGAAGGCGGGUCACUGGGCCGCAACUGACGCUGAGGAGCGAAAGCAUGGGGAGCGAACAGG
RNAcentral lists this ribosomal RNA (253 nucleotides) under uncultured bacterium. RNAcentral describes it as "partial 16S ribosomal RNA". It matches the Rfam family "Bacterial small subunit ribosomal RNA", at positions 524 to 776 of the family's 1533-position model. The record is from RNAcentral.